GAUCGAAUAAUGGAUUGUGGUUGUCGAUCAUGAAACAAGCGUCAAAGAUGGUAUAUUUGGAGAUUAAGCUUCUACGGGCUAGAAGCUCUAACGAGCCAACUACACCCAAUGAUGUUGGGACCCAAUAACAUUGGGAGCCUCCAACCUCACCCAGUCUCCACUCCCAGUAUUUGAGACUUGGUAAAGAGACAUGUUGGUGUUCGUGGUGGUGAUUGGCAGGCAGUAAGACUUGGUAAUAUAAAGGGGUUUUUUUUAACAAAAGACUUUUUAGCCGACAUUGAUAUUUUUGUUGCCCCAGAAUGGCCAGUUUCGAAGAACCAUUCAAAAAUAAACUUCAGGUAGCAUUAUUUGUUGUUUUCUACAUUUACAUGUCUGGAUAUUUGUCAGCUUUGAAUAUUAGAUUCACUCUACUCCAGCUAUAGCAUUGCUGCUUA
Molecule: long non-coding RNA, 434 nt
Organism: Rhododendron vialii
Lineage: Eukaryota; Viridiplantae; Streptophyta; Magnoliopsida; Ericales; Ericaceae
Exons: 3
Source: RefSeq, a predicted model, not a curated record